GCCCCCAGUCUCCAUAGCAGCCUGAGAAUGCCCCAGCCCUGAAGUUAAGCAGGGUCUGCCCUGACUGACACUUGGUUGGGAGACCAUAAGGAGAAACCGGGGCUGGAGGCU
Molecule: ribosomal RNA, 111 nt
Filed under: Cebus imitator (Panamanian white-faced capuchin)
Lineage: Eukaryota; Metazoa; Chordata; Mammalia; Primates; Cebidae
Source: RNAcentral